This 288-nucleotide ribosomal RNA is filed under the name uncultured bacterium. RNAcentral describes it as "partial 16S ribosomal RNA". It matches the Rfam family "Bacterial small subunit ribosomal RNA", at positions 28 to 313 of the family's 1533-position model. The record is from RNAcentral.
GAUGAACGCUAGCGGCAGGCUUAAUACAUGCAAGUCGAGGGGCAGCGCGGGUAGCAAUACCUGGCGGCGACCGGCAAACGGGUGCGGAACACGUACAGAACCUUCCUUUAAGCGGGGGAUAGCCCAUAGAAAUGUGGAUUAAUACCCCAUAGUAAUAUUGACUGGCAUCAGUUGAUAUUUAAAGAUUUAUCACUUAAAGAUGGCUGUGCGGCUGAUUAGGUAGNGGUGCGGGUAACGGCCACCAAGCCAGCGAUCAGUAAACUGGUGUGAGAGCACGACCAGUCACAC